CGGCGUCAUACAGUGUCUAUUCAAGGC
Molecule: unclassified non-coding RNA, 27 nt
Filed under: Mus musculus (house mouse)
Lineage: Eukaryota; Metazoa; Chordata; Mammalia; Rodentia; Muridae
Description: oocyte_clustered_small_RNA4349
Source: RNAcentral